RNAcentral lists this long non-coding RNA (612 nucleotides) under Struthio camelus australis. RNAcentral describes it as "lncRNA (ENSSCUG00000003911.1)". Lineage: Eukaryota; Metazoa; Chordata; Aves; Struthioniformes; Struthionidae. The record is from RNAcentral.
GUUAGGGGAGGAAAAUGCUCCCUAUCAGCACUGCUGAGGAAUGAAGGCAAAUGAGAAAGGGAAAAGAAGGGAGAAGCAAGACUGAGUGCAUAGUGCAGGAGUCUGAUCUAAUACAGAUCUAGAAAAGAAAGUGCAAUAUAAGAAGGAAGUGUAUUAGAAAGAUAAUAAAAUAUAUUGUAAGGAAAGAAAUAGGGUAAAUAUAGAAAAUAUGAACAAUGUUUGGAAAAGCAAGUACCAUACGUUGGAGAUGGAAGAGAUGCCAAGCCCUAUGGAAAGAACAAGAACUGUGCGGAAUGGUGUUAUCAAUUAUCCCUUUUGGAUUCUCAUUUUCUUGAAAAAUCCCUGUAACUGACGGAAGGAAAGUUUUCACAGAUCACCUCACUGAAUCACAGAAUCACAGAAAGGCUGAGUUUGGAAGGAACCUCGGAAGAUCAUGUAAUCCAACCAUCGUGCUCAAAGCAGGGUCAACUAGAACGCAUUGCACAGGACUGUGUCCAGACGGCUUUUGAGUAUUUCCAAAGUUGGAGAUUCCACCACGUCUCUGGGUAACCUGUUCCAGUGUUCAACCAUCCUCAGAAUAAAAAAGCUUUUUCUUAUGUUUAAGUGGGAUUU